AUCAUUUUGGCAGAAAAGUGCUUUGAAUUUAGAAUUCAAUAAUAUAAGAAUUUAUAUGUGAUA
Molecule: transfer RNA, 63 nt
Filed under: Coleoptera sp. 22 KM-2017
Lineage: Eukaryota; Metazoa; Arthropoda; Insecta; Coleoptera
Description: tRNA-Leu
Source: RNAcentral